AUGCAACUGGUUAAUUUGUAUUAUGCCGUUUUGUUCCUUUCUCGGUCGACAAAGGCCCUUUUCUCUACCGACAGCGCUGCCCAAACACUAUGUUCUGUGUCUGCGCUAAUACUGCAGCCUCAAGCCACAGAAGUGCUCCAGGAGCGAGGAAAGGAUUGGAGUGGAGGAGGGGUGCUGUGGCAAGCAGAUGGACUGCCAGGAAGUAAACUGGGCUUAUUUACCAUUUCUCCAUGGCUGGUGGAUGAGAUAAAUGAGAGGCAUCAUGGUUCGGAACCGCCACCUCGCAACCCCUCCACGCACCCCGCCCCCCCAGGUUCAGGACAGUCUGCUGGAGAGAAGAGUUUCUAAGGUGGCCCUGUCAGCCGAGGUGUAACUGAACCCACGCGGUGACCGUGAUGAUGACGAGGAGGAUGACAUGAUGAUGGCAAGUGAAGAUCUCUUACAUGCCUGCCACGUGCCAGGUGCUGUUAAGACUUUCACAUCCACAGACGCACUCACUCCUCCUGUCGUCUCCAUGGUGGGCACUAUAAUUACUUGGAAACAAAGAAACCAGGGCUUAGAGAGUUUAAAAAAAAAC
Molecule: long non-coding RNA, 577 nt
Filed under: Mustela putorius furo (domestic ferret)
Lineage: Eukaryota; Metazoa; Chordata; Mammalia; Carnivora; Mustelidae
Description: lncRNA (ENSMPUG00000026373.1)
Source: RNAcentral